This 303-nucleotide ribosomal RNA is filed under the name uncultured bacterium. RNAcentral's name for it is "bacterial SSU rRNA". It matches the Rfam family "Bacterial small subunit ribosomal RNA", at positions 355 to 671 of the family's 1533-position model. The record is from RNAcentral.
UGGGGAAUAUUGGGCAAUGGAGGCAACUCUUACCCAGCAAUGCCGCGUGAAUGAAGAAGGUCUUCGGAUUGUAAAGUUCUUUAAUUGGGGACGAAAAAAAUGACGGUACCCAAGGAAUAAGCCCCGGCUAACUACGUGCCAGCAGCCGCGGUAAUACGUAGGGGGCAAGCGUUGUUCGGAAUGACUGGGCGUAAAGGGUGUGUAGGCGGUGUAGCAAGUUAGAAGUGAAAUACCUAGAGCUUAACUCAGGUGCUGCUUCUAAAACUGCUAUACUUGAGUGCAGUAGAGGAAAGUGGAAUUCCU